This 457-nucleotide ribosomal RNA is filed under the name uncultured bacterium. RNAcentral describes it as "bacterial SSU rRNA". It matches the Rfam family "Bacterial small subunit ribosomal RNA", at positions 29 to 493 of the family's 1533-position model. The record is from RNAcentral.
AUUGAACGCUGGCGGCAUGCCUAACACAUGCAAGUCGAACGGCAGCACGGCAGUAGCAAUACUGUGGGUGGCGAGUGGCGGACGGGUGAGGAAUACGUCGGAAUCUGCCCAGUCGUGGGGGAUAACUAGCCGAAAGGUUAGCUAAUACCGCAUACGACCGAGAGGUGAAAGCGGGGGGACCGCAAGGCCUCGCGCGAUUGGAUGAGCCGACGUCGGAUUAGCUAGUUGGUGGGGUAAAGGCCCACCAAGGCGACGAUCCGUAGCUGGUCUGAGAGGAUGAUCAGCCACACUGGAACUGAGACACGGUCCAGACUCCUACGGGAGGCAGCAGUGGGGAAUAUUGGACAAUGGGCGCAAGCCUGAUCCAGCAAUGCCGCGUGAGGGAUGACGGCCUCGGUUGUAACGUACUUCUAGCAGGGAAGAAGCGAAAGUAGACGGUACCGUGCAGAAGAAGACA